AACAUAAAAUUGUUAUUUUAAACGUUAAAAACUUAUGGGAUACUGCAUAUACACAUCCUCUAAAAUCUUUCAGCUCAAUUGGAAAUAUUUCAUCCCAAGUCCUUCCGGCACUUGAGUGUGUAUUAAUUGAUUAUCAUCAUAGAUCUCAGGCUACUACUAGCUCAAGCUAUUAGAUGAGGGUUGAUAGCCCCAAAUCUUUGUUAUUGGUUGUUUUCAUAAUCUUCACUUCCUUAUCCAAGCAAGUUUAGAAUUGAGGCAAGUUUCAAUGUAUAACAUAAAAGGCCAGUAGUAUUGAUGGUCAGUCUCAAAAAUCUAAUACAACAAACAGACUGACAUUAAAGAGACAAUGACCCUCAAAUUAGGCUAUGUAUCGCCGUGGAUUAAUAGUCACACAAGGCAGCAGAGAUUGUUGGUUAAGCAACUCAUUCUACCUUCUUGCUUUCUUUGGCUUCAGCUUCUUCCGCGUCUUUUGUCUUUCCUUCGUCAAACUCCAACAACUGCUCAACAAAAAUAUCAAGAAUACAGUUUCAGUAUUCGAAACAGAAAUGUAAUAUAAACAGAUUGUCAAGAAAAACAUACAGGCUUCACAUCCCUGUUCCAUAUGCAAUGUACCGCCAAGAAUCCAACAAAUAUUGUGAGUGCCAAACCAAAUGUGUAUCCUAAAAAUGCACUCUUGAAGUAUUGGGGUGCCUUCCCCCUGGAGACAUCAAAACGGAGUGCCAAUGCAACAAAAAUGCCUGAAAGAUUGAAGUGAUCAAAUGUUACCAAGUGUAUCUACUCAAGCAAAAAAGAAGUUGCAAAAGAAAAUGAUGCAAGACCAUGGCAAAAACCAAAUAAUAAGAAUUUGUGAAAGAAAAAUAAGUUCAGUAGCUAGAGUAAAAGAAAUAAAACUUUUCUUCAAUAUGGUAAGACCUCAUCCCUCAUUCCUUCUCGAGGGACCAACAGUGGUUUUUUCAACUUUUUCCUCUUACUGUCUCAAACCCCAAACCUCAUGGUUUGAGAUGGAGGAUCCCUCUAUUAUGCUUAAUCUCUCUGGUUUAGUCACAAAAAGUAAGCUAAUAAUUUGUAAAGUUGCAUUCGUGGCUAUUUACAAAUAGCACAGGUCAAAAAUCAGAAAAGAUCUUUCAUGCAAAUGGAGGUUAUACCUGGGAUAACUAUAUCUCCAAGACCCAGCAUUGAGAAGGGGCGUUUAGCAUCCGCUGUGGGAAACAAAAGCUGCAGACAAAGCAAUUUUAUAAUCAGGACACAGUGACUAACAAAGUGUGGAAUGGAAAAUUUAAAGAACCAGCUACAUAAAAAAAGGUCACUAUCUUGAUAGGAGCAUCAAAAGAUUUGGCUACACUGACCAUCACAAAAAGUCCUGCCUGCAUUUUUCGAAAGCCAUGGGCAUUCUCAUGAAGUUCUUUUCCGGAUAUUUGGAAGAGUCAAAUAAGGAACAACAAAGGGAUAUUUGGUUUAAGGCUAGAAACAUAAAUAGAAUGACACUUAUGAACCAUGUACAAUUACAUAUAAUACACAAAUUUCUUCCCUUACCAAUAGUAUGGCACCAGUCUUAAAUGAUCCAAGUGAAAGCAUUUCAAUACCCUGAAAUCAAAAUGGCAAAGGAAAAUCCAUAUCAUUCAUCAAGGUAGACAUGAUUAGACUCAAGAGGGGACCAAACACUUUUCAGCUCUGCAAAAGUCUCCAUUCAUUCGAAGCAUACAAAUAGAUAAUAACAAGUAACGUUGGAUCAUUGUAAGGACCCAAUGUGGGAUGUGGGUAGGACGCAUGUCACAAGUAAGAACUGUAUCAAUGACAAGGAUCCUGGUGUUUUAGUGGGAGCACAGUAGAGGCAGGGGCGGCUGGUAAGGUAUAAAAAAAGUUUUUGGCCUUAGGCCCUAAUAAAUUGGGGGCCUCAUUUUUUAGUUAAUUAGGUAGAAUUAAACUUUUAAAAAAAAAUAGAACUAAGACAACAAAUGCAAAUGGCAUUAAUGAUAUAUAUAUAUUUCAUAUGAUGUUAACAUAUCAGGGGCAGCUGGUAAGCAUCCCUUUUACUAAUUUGAGAUUAGGGCAAUCAUCGAUGAUCAGCUGAGAGAGGGAGGAGGGAAGGGAAAGAGACUGGAGUUGAUGGCAGGAGGAGAUGACUAGACUUUGAAGUGAAGUGAGGUACCGAAAACCUUCUGUCGGUAGUGAAUGGAGUUGAUGUUGGUCAUUUAAAUGGAGCUGAGAAAGAGAUGAGGGAAGCCCUUCUUCCACCAUUGACUGAAUUUGAGGUAUAUCAGCAAUGCAUAGAUAUUCAAGAGAUGAGAGGCUUUUGAGAAGUUGGCUGCUUAAUGUUUUCAUAUUGGAUACCUCAAGCCUUUGAAUAGAGGAAGGCAACUCCCAAUUCUCACCGGCAAGAAUCUCUUCGUCACUCCCAUCAUGAUUGAUCCAUAACUCUCUGAGACAGGAGAGUCUCUGUAAACGCCAUUCCUUUCGUCCAUUCACUAGUUUCUUGCAAUUACGGAUCUCAAGCAUUUGUAAAUUGAAAGGCAAUCCUCCUUCUGGAAAGAACUCUAUUUCUGGACAAUAAGACAGAUGCAGUUCCUUAAGAGAAGGAAGGAGUUCCUGCAUAUGUUCUGGCAACCACUUCAGCUUCGAACAUCGGAUAAUACGCAAAUGCGUCAUCUGAGUCCCCCCACAGGCCCCUGAAAGUUUUUCAAGAUUCUUACAAUUCCAAAUACUGAGACUAUCAGUAGCAGUAGGAAUAAAAAACUUAGUAAGGUUCUGGGAACUAAAUACAUCCAAUUUGCGUGCUCUUGGGACCAACUCAGGUGAUAUAUCAUCUAUAGAAGUGUCAAAUCCACACAGUGUCAAUUUCUCGAGAAACAUGUUACAAUAACUGCUAGAAAUCAUAUCACCAACUGGUGCCUCCAAUUUCAAUUUCUGGCAACGAAAUAUGCCUAUUUCCUUCAAGGUACUCGGAAGAAUGCUAAAAGGAAAGGAGGUGAGAGAGUUACACUCACCAAUAAAUAAUCCCUCAAUCUGCUUCAUUCCUUCAAGUUGGGAUCCAAACAGUUCACUGUCAUCAAAAAGUGGAGAAUCAUCAACAUCAAAUAUUUGUAAAUUUGAAAGUUGGAUAGGUGUCUCCAAAUUGAGUACAGGACAUCUUGAAAUUAUCAAUUCUGUCAGAGAAGAAAGAUUUUCAGGCAACUUCCCAAUCAACUUCGGACAAUUUUGAAUUGAAAGCUUCUCAAGUGCAGGGAACUCUCCAUUUCCUAGUACGUGCCAUUGCUUCCACUCCGGCAUGUCUUCAAAUUCAAGCUUCUCAAGAGAAUUAAAAGGCUUUUUGAAGGACAAACUACCAAAGAAUUCUUCAGUGACCUCUGUUAUUCCGUGCAUCUCUCUAAUGGAAAGGAAUUUCAAAGAACGGAGUUGCCCUAGUGCUGGCAAGGAAUCACAGUCCUUGCAGUGGCAAAGAGACAAUUUCUCCAGCUUAUAAAACAAAGGAUCAGCUAGCCAAUUUGGAAAGUUUGUCCCUCUAUAUCCAGUGAUUUCGACUUCUUUUAUGUUUGUGUGUGGGCAUAGCUCAUCAAGUAUGUCUCUUUCAGUUUGUGAAUUGUCUGCAGUACUACUUCCACUCCACUCCAAUGAUAAUUUUUCAACAUGAUUCUUCUCCCUCAUCUUUGCCUUCAAAGCUUUCCUUCUAUCAACCACAUUUUGCAACUCUAGAAUUGAUAGAGAUCCAUACAAGUUAUGCAGUUCACCCAAAUCUUCCAUCCUCAAACCACCGCAAUCACUUAUAAGAAACUUGGCUCCCACUAGCACAUCGAGACUUUUCAACUUGCUCAGAUGGAGCGGCAUCUUCAAGAGAUAAGUGUUGCUAAUGUUGAGGUGACGCAAGUUGAUCAACUUCUCCAUUUGUAGCGGUAGAUCUUCAAGAUCAUCACAAGAUGAUAGGAGAAGUGUCUCUAAGUUAUACAACACACAAAUGGAAUCUGGCAACCUUUUAAUCUUUGUCCGAGAAACAUCCAAAAAUCUCAGGAACUUUAAUUUGAUAAACAAGUCAUUUGGCAACUCAACAAUCUCAUAGCAUGACAACGAUAAUGCCCUUAUGGAUGUUAGACUUGGCAAUAGGUUAUGCAGUACCCUCUUGCUUAGCUUAAUUUGGUCACGGAGCUGGAUAUUGAUUGGAAGAAAUGACUUUAUCUUCUCUGAUUGAAAGAGGGAAUUCAAUUUCUCAAAGUCACCACCUUCUCCCAUUGAAUAGGACAUGUGCCGACAUUUUUCCAACAUAUGAGAUCCUUUGUUCUCUUCCAACCUUAUACAAAGAUUUGAAGAUACAUUUCGGGCCAAAUCAUUGAUAAGGUCAUGCAUUAAGAAUCCCUCCGGUUUCCAUUCAGACUCUGGGACCUUUUCGAACAGCGAUCUUGAUCUCAACUCGAAAAAGUAUUGGUCACCUGAAUGAAACUGUUGUACAAGACCAUUAGCAAUCCACAGGUGAAUAACUUGGUCUUUGCAAAAUUGAUAACCUUUGGGAUAUAUUGCACAAUAAGCAAAACAUCGCUUCAAAUGUGGAGGAAGAUCAUUGUAGCUCAACAUCAGCGCUGGUAAUAUAACAUUAAAAGAACUUGGCAGCUCCCAUAUUUCACUUCUUAAAAUGUCUCUCCACUCAUCCACCUCUGAUUUGCAGCGUAAAAUACCAGCAAGUGCCUUUAGAGCUAAAGGCAACCCUCCGCACUUGUCUGCAAUUUUUUUUCCAACUUUUUCCAAUUCUGGAUGUUCCUUAGGAUCCCUAUUUUCUAGUGAAUGUCGUUUGAAUAAAUCCCAAGAGGCUUCACUAGAUAGAGUUCCCACGUUGAUUGCUCCGCUACCCAUCAUCAAAGCAACACUCUCCUUACGUGUAGUUACAAUGAUCUUACUUCCCAUACGUCCUUGUACAAAAAGAUUUCUCAAGUCAUCCCACUCACUAUAGCUAUCAUUCCACACAUCAUCAAGGACAACAAGAAACUUCCUUCCUGACAGGCCUUCCUUCAAUUUGACCUGCAGCUGAUUAAGAUUGUCAUAACCCUUUGAGUCACAUGAGCCAAUUUGUUGAAGUAGCCCUUUUGUUAGUCUGAAAGCAUCAUAUUCCUCAGUAACACAAUGCCAAGCUUUCAAAUCAAAAUGGUCAUUCACCUUCUCAUCAUUGUAAACCGCUUGAACAAGUGUUGUCUUACCCACACCGCCCAUUCCAACAAUAGGAACUACAGUCAGGUUUUUUCCAUUUGCAUCUUCGGACAAUAAACGGUCAAUCAAAUCCUCAAAAUCAUUCUGCCUACCAAAGAUAUCAAAAUUAUCAACCAAAGAAGUUGAAGGUGUUGUAGUUUCUUGUUUAGUCAAACCAAAAUGCUCCUUUAAGCCAAGGGGACCAAUUUUCUUUUGCAAAUCCUCCAAUAUUUCAAUAGUGUCUUCCAACUUGUCCUUUAUGUCAAGAAAGAAAGCAUCACUUACUCGAUGGUUGCUAGUUUCUGCAAGAUUUUGAUGCUGGCCUUCCACCUUAAGCCUCAAAGCUUCAUAAUUGACUUGUUCCAUUAAGUUUUCAGCAGUGUCCACAGCAUCUAGAAGCUCAUUAAACCACUGGCUCACAAAUUGAUCUGAUGCCUGCGUAUUCUCUGCAUCACUUAGCACAGCUUGAAAACAAAGCAAAGUCGUUCUCAGCUUCUUCAAGAGACGAACAUCAUUUGUAUGCUUCUGAAACAUCUCUAGAACAUUCAAAGCUGAAGAGAUAAAUGCACCACCAACUGCUAAGCCCACCUCCAUUUCUGAAAUCUGCAAAGCAAAACACAAAAUGAUUUUAAGAAAUUUGAGAAGAUGAAUGUUUCUAUCUUCAAUUACUAACAACUUUACUUUACCUGUUGAAUGCUAAGAGUAAUUUGCAAACAAGAAUGAUCACUGAUUUCUCUCUCUCUUUUGCUAGUAAAUUUGCAAACAACAAGUUGUAACUAUGUUUGCUAGUGCCUAUUCAUUGCUUUCUCAAUUGAGUAAUUGAGGGUAGUUGGGGGACGUUGUACAAAAUGGGGACCAUUUAGACACCAAAGUCUUGUAUCAUUUAAACAUCAAUACAAGGUUCAAUUGUGCUAUUUUGACAUUUUUGGCUAAUUCAGCCAAAUACGUUAAAGUGUGCAACACACUCGCGGAUAACAUCUCAAUAUUUGAAUUGCACAAAAUGACAAAAUUACUUCCAUAUUUGAAUUGCACAAAUUACUUUCCUGGGGUGUUUGACAAUUAAUGAGUCCUGUUUUAAGGCUUGUAGUCCUUAUUUGAAAACUAAUUAUUUGAAUUAGUAUAUAUGAAUCUUCAAUAUAUCCAUUUGAUCUCCGACUACUACGAUCGUUGGGAGCUGGAUACCUUCUUGCAUUAUGUUAAGGUGGUGGACGAAUUUUAUCAUUGAAAGAUGCAACAAUGGGAGGAUGAACAAAUGGAUAUAUUGAGGAUGAAAAAACACGUGUGAGAAGGAUCAAAUAUAUCCCUUUAUAUAUAUAUAUUAAAACGAAUCUAGAUUGAAUUUUUUACUUUUGUUAGAGAAAAAGAGUAUAUGUGAGUCAUUUGUGUAGCAAUAGAAGUAUAUGUGAGCUGCUUUUUUAACGAGAGCCAAUGAGCCAUAUAAACUUUAUAUCACAAGUUAAAGAAGUAUAUCAGACCAUUUUCUCUUGAAACAUGUUGAGCAGGUCAGCCACAGGAGCAAGCCUAUCAAGUCAUUUUUUACUCCUUUCAAAAGUAAGACUUUUCAAACAACAAGAAGACACGAUAAAUUGAAGCAAACUCAUUACUUUCUCAAUGUAAUAAUUGAAGCAAGGGAAGAAGAGUAAUUUAUUAGGGAUGUAGAAAGGGGGGCCUAGGUGGGGGACUCAAAAAUAAAAGAACUUAAAAUGAUAGAUUUCUACACAGUUCAUCAUAGCGUUAAAAGGGACCUAUCAUAUUAAAAAUGCAUAAUACAUAAACCCUUAACAGGGCUUCAAUGGACAACUAUACCCUCCAACUUUGAGUGUGCACAAGUAAAGAUUUAAAUUUGUAUAAAAUUAACAAGUAGACACACGUGUCCUACAUGACAUAAUACGCGUAGGAUGCCACAUACGACACAAAAUUGUCAUGUAGGGUGCUAUGUAGGACGAAUGUGUCUAUUUGUUCAAUUUUAUACAAGUUUAAGUGUCUACUUGUGCACACCCAAAGUUAAAAGUCAUAGUUGCCGGCUGACGCCAAGUUAAGGGUCAUGUUUAUGUAUUAUGCCUAUUAAAAAUAUGUUUUCUUUACAUUCUUGAAAAGUUCUCUCUUUUAUUUUAAAAAAAGAAAUCAUUCUUGAAAAUAUUAUUGAUGAAUUUUGAAUUGAACAGAACUUGUAAUUAGAUUCCAUGUGGUUACCUUUUAAAUCAAAAUAAUCUCUUUUUAUAAUCACUCAUCAUGUGUGAUCUUUUCUAUUGAACUUACUGCAUAGAUGCAUCGAAAUAUUUUAAUAAGUUAAUAUUUGUGUAUUCUAAAAAGUAGAACCUCUUUGAUACUUUUAGUUUGUCCAUGAUUUAUCAAAAGUUUAAGAUCACAAAAUUUUAAAAACACACAUAUUUUUAAUUUAAAAUCAUAAAUUUUAAAAAUCUCUUUUUUAUUUCGUAAAACUUGUGCUCAAAUAAGCUAAAACACUUAAAUUGAGCGAAGUUAAUACAUCAAUUUUGCAAUCAUGUGCUCUAUUAUAUAUAUAUAUAUAUAUAUAUUGAUUGUUAGGUUAUUGUGAUGUAGUGGAAAAGGACAUGAGGCCAUGACUACACAAGUUGUGCCAAAAGUAAUUGAUAAAAUUUAAUGGUCACCAAUCAACUUACCUACCCCUCUUAAUUACACAUCAAAACCUAGCAAAAAUAAUGUGAGAAUUUUUAUUUUUUAAAAAAAGAAGUAAAAAAUUUAAAGCUAAUUUUUUUCGGAUAUGUUGUAAAAGUAUUUUUGUAUCAGUAAAAAAAAAUUUGGGGCAUAUGUAAUAAAUUUUACAAGAAAUUUAGUAAAAAAAAUUUGACUAUUAAAAUGAUAAAUCCAAAAUUAGCCAUUGAAUCAAAGAAGCCAAAAAAAAUACAUGUGAGAACGAUCAAAUAUAUCCCUACAUAAAUGGUUUUUUCAAAAAAAAAUAAAAUUAAAUUGAUUUUUUUUAAAUUUUUGUUAGAGGAAAUGGUAUAUCAGACCGUUUUCUCUAUGUUAGUUGUAUUAUAUACUUUAUUUAAUACUAUUUUUAUACAUAACAAACCAUGGCGUUAACGAUACGAAAUAUUAACCACCUACUGUCAUUUUUUCUCCUUUCAAAAGUAAGACUUUUCAUUCAACAAGACACUACAACAAAAGCAACUUUUAGCGGCAAUAAAUAGGCACAUUAAUAAAUAGUGCUAAAGUUUUUACCAACAUCAAUUAAGUGUCAUUAGAUCCAAUAUCACUAAAGGCUUUAGGGACAUAUACAAAAAGUGUAAAUUGCCGCUAAAAUAUAUAUUUAGCGGCAAUUGAGCUAUUACCGUUAAUUAAUUGCCGCUAAAGAUCAUUUUUGAUGCAGUAAGAAAAAAAUGAUAAAUUGAAGCAAAUUCAUUACUUUCUCAACUAAAUAAUUGAAGCAUGAGAGGAAGAGUAAUUUAUUAUGGAUGUAAAAAGGGGGUUAGGUCGGGGACUAAAAAUAAAAGAGCUUAAAAUGACAGAUUUCUACACAGCUCAUUAUAGUGCUAAAAGGGACCUACCAUAUCAUAAAUAUGUUUACUUAACAUUUUUGAGAAAAUUCUUUUCCUUUUUAAAAGAAAAGGAAAAAAUAAAUUAUUCUUGAAAAUAUUAUUGCUGACUUUUGAGUUUAAUAGAACUGGAUCCCUUGUUUAAAUAAUACUUUACAUUCUGGUAAAUCUUCACAUUUUUUUCCCUACUUUUUCUACUUACUAAAUUUUACUGAAAUAAAGAUAAAUGAAGAUACUGCUGGGGAGAACAUGUUCUCUGCAACAGUAGGUCAUGCAUUACAACGUUUGUCUUGUUUUCAAUAGUUGACAGUUAUAGAAAAGAAAAGCCCAACAUCAUUUUUUUUUUUAAAAAAAUUCUUCUCAUAAAAUGAAAUUAAGUCUUAAAUGUAAUUCAAGUAGCUAAGUGUUGGUGAACGAAAAUAUUUGAUUUAUAAACUCAAAAGUUCCUAUAUGUUUCUAUAUUUUCUGUAUAUUUCAAUGUUUUUCUCUGUAUUGAAAAUAAUUAACAACAUUCUUAUUUAUAAUAGUAAACAAUCAAAUUAAACUAGGACUAGGAACUACUCUAACUAACAAACCCUAAUUAAACAUAAAUAAGUAAAUACCAUAAAUAACAAAUCCUAAUCAACUUAGGAUUCCCACUCCAACUUUGAAUUAUUAUUUCCAACAUUCUCCCAUAAUUCAAAGUUGUAUACUCUUGCCUUUUUCUUCUUGUUACUGUUGUUGUAUUGGAGUACUUCUCUUCUUGUUAUUGUUGUUGUAUUGGAGAACUCCUCUUCAAUCUUCAAUUGUUGGAGUGCUUCUCUUCAAUCUUCAAUUCUUGGAUUGCCUCUCUUCAAUUCUCAUUUUUUUUUUCUUGGUUGUGUUGGCGCACCUCUAUCCAACUUCCAAGUGUUAGAGCACUUUCUCUCCAACUCACGAUAUUUUUUUCUUGGUUGUGUUGGCAGGGCCGUCUCGACCAUAAGGCCACUAAAGCAAUCGCUUGGGGCCCCAAACAUUUUCUUUCAUAUAUAUUGUUAAAAAAAAUUCAUGUAUUGACAAAUUUGAAAAUAAUAUUUUGUAUACAAAAUAUAAUUGAGAAAUUGAAUAUUGUUUAGUUGAUUGUAGUGUCUUUUCUAGAUUCUUAUUAUGUGGCUAGUUAAUUGUAGUAUCCUUUCUUGUUUCACAUGUGGCUAUCUAUUUUGUUGUCUAGUUCAUUUAUAUUUUGAUGAUUAUCAUGAACCAACAAUAUUGUGUUCUUAUAUCAACUUUUCUUUAUUCUCCUUCCACUAUUUUUUAUUCUUUCAUGGGAAAAGGUAGAAGUACCUCCCUAAACUAUGAUCCAAAUCUCAGAGACAUGCCUUAACUAAACUAAGGUCCUAUUAACCCCCUGAACUCAUUUUUUUUGUAAUUUUGUACACCUUUUUGGCUUACGUGGCAUUCAAAUAUAUCUCACACGCCUCAACUGCAUGGAGUCACAGGGUGUGCCACAUAAGCCAAAAGGUGUACAAUAUUAUAUAUAAAAUGAGUUCAGGGGGGUAAUAGGACCUUAGUUUAGUAAAGGCGUGUCUCUGAAAUUUCAAUCAUAGUCUAGGGGGUACUUGUGCCUUAUCCCUUCUUUCAUUAUUGAAUAUUCUGAAGUCUCUCAAACGUUCAAACAUUCUACAUUAUGUAUUGUUGUGUUUUUAUAAAAAGAUCAAAUUUGUUUUUGGUGUCUUAUUCAAAUUUCAAGCACUAAAACUAAUCAACACUAUUUUAAUAUUAUUUAUUAACUUAUCAAAUUCAUCGCUACAUUAUUUUAAUAGCAUCAUAUUUUUAAAAUUUUGAGUCAUGUUUUAUUAUUCCAACUUUAUAUUAUAUAAUUUUCAUUGAAAAUUUACAUUAUUUGCAUUCUUACUUCAUAAUGUCUACAUAUAUCCUGUUUCUCCAGACCUCAUUUGUAGGAUUACACUAGUAUACUAUAAUUAUUCAAUUUAUAUUUAUCAACAAGUUUGGGGCCUCUUUAUAAUGUUUGGCUUGAGGCCCCCAAACUUGUUGAGAUGACCCUGUGUGUUGGAGCACAUCUCUCCAACUUCCAAGUGUUGGAGCACUUUCUCUCCAACUCACAAUAUUUUUUCUCUUGGUUGUGUUGGAGCACUUCUCUCCAAAUUCCAAUGUUGAUGCCCUUCCCACCAACGCCUUUUUUUUUGUGUUGGAGCACUCUCUCUCCAACUCUCGUUGAUGCCCUUCUCAUCAACUCCUUUUCUUUUUGUGUUUUUGUUUUUUAUUUUGGUGUUGGAGCACUCUCUCUCCAACUCUCAUUGAUGCCCUUCACAUCAACUCCUUUUCUUUUUGUGAUUGGUGUUGGAGCACUCUCUCUCCAACUUUCGUUGAUGACCUUCCCAUCAACUCCUUUUCUUUUUGUUUUGUUUUGUUUGUUUUUUUUACUUUAUCUAACUUUUAAUUUAGAGAAGAGUUUCUCCCUCUUGUGCUUGGUUGCACUUCUUUAAAUCUGCAAUAUUUUGUAAGUCUUUCCUCCUAGCAUGUUCUUUUCAUGAAUAUAUUAUUCGUUCAGCUUUUGUCAACAUGAUCAUUGGCCAGACGGACAGCAUAUAUAUAUGGGUUACAACUGCCCGCCAGCAAUGGAGACUCUUUGAUUCUCUACCAGGAUCGUAGAAGCUCUGAUACCAAUUGAAGGAAAAUAUUUUAUUUAUAAACUCAAAAGUUCCUAUGUGUUUCUAUAUUUUCUGUAUAUUUCUAUGUAUUUCUCUGUAUUGAAAAUAAUUAACAACAUUCUUAUUUAUAAUAGUAAACAAUCAAAUUAAACUAGGACUAGGAACUUCUCUAACUAAGAAAUCCUAAUUAAACAUAAAUAAAUAAAUACCAUAAAUAACAAAUCCUAAUCAACUUAGGAUUCCUACUCCAACUUUGAAUUAUUAUUUCCAACAGUUGGUCACUACCUAUUUGAAACUUGGAUUAUGAUACAGUAGUUAUUACUAUCUCAUUUUGCUUGAUGCAUCAAAAAAAGCAUUUCCUUAAGUAUUACGGAGUUUGAGAAUAGAAAGAGCAAGCAUUAAUUAGAAGAUAGUAAUAGGUAUUUAAAAUAGGAAAAAUCUUUUUGACCAGAAAAUUUGGCCAAAAUAGUAUUUUAUCUAUGUUAUUUUAUCUUUUUGAACAUUUUUACCCUUUUAACUUUAAUACAUUUUAAUUAAAAAGAUCAGUUUAUUUGAAAAUAAAAUAGAAAUUAUACACUUUUAAAAAAUUUUGGCCAAAUUCUGGCAAAAUUUUCUGGCCAUUUAGCAUUACCCUUUAAAAUAAUAACAUUAGGUUCUAUUAUACGCUUCUGAAACAUGUGCCGACUUUGCUCCAACAUAUGAGAUCCUUUGUUCUCUUCCAACCUAAUACAAAGUUUUGAAGAUGCAAUUUUGGCCAAAUCAUUGACGAAGUCAUGCAUUAAGAAUUCAUCUGGCUUCCCUUUAGACUUUGGGACCCUUUCGAACAAUGAUCUUGAUAUCAACUCGAGAAAGUAUUGGUUACCGGAAUGCAACUUCGGUAAAAUACCAUUAGCAAUCCAUAGGUUAAUAACUUGGUGUUUACUAAAUUGAUAAUCUUUGGGAUAUAUUGCACAAAAAGCAAAACAUCGCUUCAAAUCUGGAGGAAGAUCAUUGUAGCUACAACAUCAACGCUGGUAAUAUACCAUUGAAACAACUUGGCAGCUCCCAUAUUUCACUUCUUAAAAUGUCUCUCCACUCAUCCACCUUUGAUUUGCAGUGUAAAAUACCAGCAAGUGCCUUUAGAGCUAAAGGCAACCCUCUUCACUUGUCUGCAAAUUUUUUCCCAACCUCUUCCAAUUCUGGAUGUUCCUUAGGAUCCCUAUUUUCUAGUGAAUGUCGUUUGAAUAAAUCCCAAGAUUCUUCACUAGAUAGAGUUCCCACGUUGAUUGCUCCACUACCCAUCAUCAAAGCAACACUCUCCUUACGUGUAGUUACAAUGAUCUUACUUCCCAUAUGUCCUUGUACAAAAAGAUUUCUCAAGUCACCACUCAUAAUAGUUAUCAUUCCACACAUCAUCAAAGACAACAAGAAACUUCUUUCCCUUCAGGCUUCCCUUCAAUUUGACUUGUAGCUGAUUAAGAUUGUCGUCAUCCUUUAAGUCAAAUGAUCCAAUUUCUUGAAGUAACCCUUUUGUUAUUCUGAAAGCAUCAUAUGCUUCAAAAACACAAAACCAAGCUUUCAAACCAAAAUGGUGCUUCACCUUAUCAUCAUUGUAAACGGCUUUAGCAAGUGUUGUCUUACCCACACCACUCAUUCCAACAAUAGAAACUACAGUCAGUUUUCAGACAUCAAACGGUCAAUCAAAUCCUCUAUUUCACUCUGCUUACCAAAGAUAUCAGAAUCAUCAACCAAAGAAGUUGAAGGUGUUCUAGUUUCUUGUUUAAUCGAACCAAAAUACUCCUUUAAGCCAACACCUCCAAUGUUUCAAUGGUUUCUUCCAACUUCUCAUUUAUGUUAUGAAAGAAAUCAUCACUUGCUUGCUGGUUUCUUGUUUCUGCAAGAUUUUGAUGCUGACCUUCCACCUUAAGCUUCAAAGUUUCAUAAUUGACUUGUUCUAUUAAGUUUUCAGCGUUGUCCACAGCACUCUGAAGCUUAUUAAACCACUGUCUCACGUGUCUAAAUGAUGCUUGCUUAUUCUCUGCAUCACUUAUCGCAAUUUGAAGACCAAGCAAAGUGUCCUCCAGCUUCUUUAAGAGCCGAACAUGAUGCUUAUGCUUCCGAAACAUCGAGCAAGCCUAUCAAAGAGAACAUUCAAAGCUGAAGAGAGAAAUGCACCGCCAACUGCUAAGCCAACCUCCAUUUCUGAAAUCUGAAAAUCAAAACAUGAAUGAUUUUGAGAAGAUAAAAUGUUUCUAUCUGUUGAAUGCUAAAGAGUAAUUUGCUACUAAUGGUCUUACUUGUAAUUCUCUUUUCACCCAACAACAAGAGUCAAUAAUGGACUAUUUUUUUUAUUGGGGGGAGGUGGACAGCCAUAGAAGGAAAAAUGAAUCAAAACUCCUUUUAUCUCCUUUCCAUGAGUAUGACUUUUCACCUAACAAGAAUGAAAAACAUGGUAAUGUCUUCCUAACUUUCAUGGUUAAUGUCAUGUUUAUGACUAACCUUUUGCAUGUCUCUAUUAUACUAUAGAUAGAGACAUUAGAGUUCAUAGUGGAUACACUUGAUGAUUUGGAGAACACUAGAAUACUUGAAAAAAUAAGAAAAACUCUCAUCUCUUGUCUCUCUAUUUCUAUUGCUUUCAUCAUCUAUAUUUCUUGCCUUAUUUUGCUUUAGUUUUAUAACAAUUUAUAAUUUGAGAAAAUACAUCAAAUACCACUAUACUUGGCAGCAAAACUUACUUUAGCACUUUAACUACAUGGGCGUUUAAAUACUCAUCUUAACAACUUCGAAGUGAAUUUAAAACCACCCUUAGAUUAUAAUUACCAUUCUCACUUGCCACAUUAUAGCCAUGUAAGUGACACAACAUAGUCAUGUCAUUAGGGGUGUGCAAAAACCGAACCAACCGAUAAACCGAACCGAAAAAGUGUUAUUGGUUUAUUAUCCUUGAGUUAUUGGAUUAACUAUUUUUAAAUGGUUUUAUAAAUAAAAAAAUCGGGUUUUCGUUUCGGUAUUGGUAUUUAAUAUUGGGUUAACCGAUAACCCAUUAAGACUAUAAUAAUUUACUACUUUUACAUGUACAUAAAUAUAAAUAUUAAUCUCAAUAUCUUAGUAGUUAUGUCUUUGUCAUUUAGCCUUCAAUUCACACUUCACUGUAACUUUUUAAGUUCACAACUUCACAUUAUACAAACAGUCAAAACCUAAAGUAAGAACCUUGUUCCUCUUAAUUUCUCUUUGUGUUACACCUGUAUAGUUCUUUUCAUGUUUGUUAUUAUUGUUUCUAGAGAAGUCAUAUAUUUAUUUAUCAGUAUUUACUUAUUGGUUAAACAGAAAACCGAAUUGUUAAGGACCAAAAUCGCUAACCAAAAACCUAUAAAAAAUAUCUUACUGGUUUGGUUAUUGGUUUAGCAUAUUUAAAAACUGAAAACCAAUAAAUCGAACCAAUAAUACAUAAAACCGAACCGACCGAUGCACAUCCUUACAUGUCAGCACCACGUCAUUAAUUAUUUUUUUUAUUAAAAUUUUCACAAUUUCACCAUUUCUAGGUUUUUACCGUUUAUCUUUUUCUAAGAAUUGUUUGUGUGUUAUUCUUAUUUCGGAAAAGGGUCCAAAAUAUCAUUUAACUACAUGAAAUUGAACAAAAAAUGCUUCAAGUUAAUAGUUGGUCCAAAAUGUCCUUUUCCUAAUAAAUAUAUUAGUAUAUUUUUUUUUCUUUUUAACCAUAUUUUAUUCCUAAUAAAGAUAUUACUAUUAAAGAAUCCAAUUUUUGUCUCUUUUCUUUUAAAAUCACAUUAACUAAUAAAUAAGUAGGAAGUAAUUUUUUUCUACUCUCAUUUUAACCAUUAAAAUAGAAUAACUUCAUUUACCAUUUUAAUGGAUAAUAUAGGUCAUAUAUAUAAGAUCAUAGUAACCCUAUCAUUAAUUUUUAUUUAGAUAAUGAUAAAAAAAAAUCUAAUAAAAUAGAAGAUAUUUUUAUAUCUUAAUCAUUUCCAAAUUGAAGUAGGAUAAACAUUUUCUAAUUUAAAAAAUCAUCAUCAUUAGAAAAAGAAUGUGUUUAUAAAAAAAAUUAUUUCGAAAAAGGAUAUUUUUGACGUAUUAAGUAACAUUAGUGACAUUUUUUAACCAAACUAUUAAUUGAUAACUAACUCCAUGUAUCUUUAUUACUGAUCGUAUAGGUCAUAUAUAUACGAUCAUAGUAACCCCAUUAAUAUUCAAAUAAAAUAGAAAAUACUUUUAUAUCUUAACCUUAAUUGAAGUAAACAUUUUCUAAUUAUAAUUAUCAUUGUUAGAAAAUAAUUUGUUCUUUUCUUAAAAAGAAGUAAUAUAUUUAUUUCAAAAAGGCAUUUUUGACCCAUUAAGCAACAUUAGGAUUACUUUUUUACCAAAUGUUAACAGUAAGGGUAUUCUUAGAUCAUAUUAUUAAUUGGUGACAUUUUUGUUCAAUUUCACACAGUUAAAGGAUAUUUUUUUUUUUUAUUUCUGUUCCUAUGGUUUGGCGGGGACCAUAUACCUUAUAUUUCUAUUGGAAAUGAAACUUUCACCAACUGAGCUAAAAAUUUAUCGUCGAUCAAGAAUUUUUUGAAAUUAAAACUCGCUAAUAGUCGGGGCCAGAUAAUUCAUUGUUCAUAUGCUUUAGGAUAGAGGUGUCAAAUGAGCGGAUUGAAUUGAAUUAGGGCAAGUAAAAUUGGAAUGAGUUAAUAAAUAAACGGGUUAAUAGCUAAUUGGACCGAAUGAGUUGAACUAAAAUGCAGGUCCUAACCCUCUGACUUUCUUCCACAUGUACUUUACAUAUUCUGUUAGAGACUCGGUGUUCGUUAUCAUAUCUACGUAUUGUCAUUGAUAGAAAAGCUUCUAAUUUGUUAAUAUUACACUUUGCUAUGAACUUCCUACACAAAAUUAUUACUCCCAAUUCCAACAUGAUUUAACAAGAGCAAAUAAUUAACAAACUAAGAGAAGUAAUGAAAAAUAAAUAUCGAUGUAAGAACUUGCAGGCCUCUGCAUAGAUUCACUUAAAAAGAUUUUCUAUAGUGACAGCAGAUCUUCGUUCUACUGUGAAGCUAGCAAAGUUUCAUUCUUAGCAUGGGAUAUUUGAUGCUUAAUUAUGAGAACUUAAAUUUCAAUUAUACAUGGGUACAUAAGCUACACAUGAUGUCUUUCGCAAUUGAGAUGUGUGAAAUUAAAACGUGGUAAGAGCAUAAACCAAUAAGCAAUGAGAAACUAAUCCAAUACCUGUCAUCCAAGAUAAUAUGCAAUUAUAUAAGGCACAACAAUUAGCUGCAAGUCUAUAACAUCUAAUUCUGACAAUGGAAGUUUUCAUCUCGAACUAAAAAUGAUUUCUUGGUUUCAAUGUGGCAAUAGACACUCAUGUUGCUCAACAAGAUUUUUAAAAAGGGAAAGCAAAGGGAAGUAAGCAAAAAUAGAAAGCUUGUGAGGAAAAAGAAUAACUUACAUUUGUUUUAAUGCAUUACCAAUCGAUCUCUAUGUUCGAGAUAUGAGCGAUUUCUGGCCAAUAUUCCCCCUUGUCAAAUUCUAGUAGUGGUUUGAGCAAUGGGAAGUCGGGAACAUAUAGUUCAGAGAGGGAAGGGGGCAUCCCUUUUACCGGAAGGGAUUUGAGAUAAGGGCAAUCCCUGAUGGUCAGCUUAGAUAGGGAAGAGGGCAUCUCUUUUACCGGAAGGAAUUGGAGAAUUAGGCAAUCCUCGAUGAUCAGCUCAGAGAGGGAGGAGGACAGUGCUGAUUCAGGAAGUGAUCGGAGCACAUGAUGGCGAGAUAAAUGUAGCUCAUAAAGAGAUGAGGGAAGCCGCCCUUGUUCCAGCAUUGACUGAAUUUGAGGUAAAUCAGCCAUAUAUAGAUAUUCAAGAGAGGUGAGGCUUUCGAAAACUUGGCUGCUUAAUGUUUUCAGAUUGCGUAUGGUAAGUCUUUGAAUAGAGGAAGGCAACUCCGAAUGCUCCAUUUCUUCAUCACUGCCAUCAUGUGCGAUCACUAACUCUCUGAGACAGGGGAGUUUCUGUAAACACCACACCUUUCGACCGUUCACUAGUUUCGUGCAAUUACAGAUCUCAAGUACUUGUAAAUUGAAGGGCAAUUCUCCUUCAGGAAAUGACAGUAUUUCUGGACAAUGCCACAGAUUCAAUGUUUUAAGAGAUGGAAGGAGUUGCUGCAUACGUUCUGGCAGCCACUUCAGCUUCUUACAGUUGAAAAUACACAAAUACGCCAUCUGUGUCCCCGAACAUGCCACCGAAGUUAUUUCAAGAUUCUCACAAUUCCAAAUAUGGAGACUUUCAGUGGCAGUAGGAAUCAAAAAGCUAGUAAGGUUGGGGCAAUGUAGUACCCUCAAUUUGCGUGCUCUCCGGAGCAACUCAGGUGAUAUAUCAUCUAUAGAAUCACAAACUGGCUGCUCUAAUUUCAAUUUCUGGCAACGAGAUAUCCGUACUGUCUUCAAGGUACUUGGCAGAAUGCUAAAAGGUAAGGAGGUAAGAGAGUUACAAUCAACAAUAGAUAAUUUAUCAACAUGUUCCUUUCACCUCAUCUUUGCCUUCCGAUCUUCCCUUCUAUCAACCACAUUUUGCAACUCUAGAAUUGAUAGAGAUCCAUACAAGUUAUGUACUUCACCCAAAUCUUCCAUUCUCGAACCACCACCACCACCUAGAAGAAACUUGACUCCCACUAGCACUUGGAGGCUUUUCAACUUGCUCAGAUGUAGCGGCAUCUUCAACCGAUAAGUGUUGCUUAUGUCAAAAUGAUGUAAGUUGAUUAGCUUUUCCAUCUGCAGCGGUAAAUCCUCAAGAAUACUACAAUGUAACAGGAGAAGUGUCUCUAAGUUAUACAACACACAAAUGGAGUCUGGCAACUUUUUUAUAUCCGUCUGAGAAAGGUCCAAAAAUCUGAGGAGCUUUAAUUCGAUAAACAAGUCAUUUGACAACUCAACAAUCUGGUAAUGAGACAAUGACAGUAUCCUCAAGGAUCUUAGACUUGGAAGUAUGUUAUGUUGCACCCUCUUGCUUAGAGGGUAACAAUUAUCGAGAUCAAUACAUGUCGGAAGCAAUGUCCUCAGCUGCUCCAAUUUGUAGAGUGGUGUCAAUUUCUCAAAGUCACCAUAUCUCAUUGAAUAUGAUAAGUGCCAACUUUUUUCCAACAUGUGAGAUCCUUGGAUCUCUUCCAACCUGAUACAAAGUUUUGAAGAUGCAAUUUUGGCUAAAUCGUUGACAAGAUCAUGCAUUAAGAAUUUCUCUAUGUUCCCUUCAGAAGGAUUUGGGACCCCUUUGAAUAAUGAUCUUGAUCUCAACUCGAGAAAAUAUUGGUUGCCUGAAUCUUGAAUUAUUUCAUUUUUAUGUGGUACGAGACCAUUGGCAAUCCACAGAUGAAUAACUUGUUCUUUCCUAAAUGGAUAAUCUUUAGGAAAUAUUGCACAAUAGGAAAAACAUCGCUUUAAAUGUGCGGCAAGAUCAUUGUAGCUCAACACUAACGCUGGUAAUAUGUCAUUGUGUGGCAACUCCCAUAUUUCACUUCUUAAAAUAGGUUUCCACCCUUCAACCUCUGAUUUGGAGCGUAACACAAAAUGAUUUUGAGAAGAUAAAUGUUUGUAUCUUCAAUUACUAACAACUUGUUUAUUUUACCUGUUGAAUGCUAAGAGUAAUAUGUGAUCAAGAAUGAUUUCUCUCCUUCUCUUUUGCUACUUGUCUUGCUUGUAAUUGGUACAACUAUGUUUUAUCCAGAGGAGAAUCUAGGAUUUUUCGAACAUGGGUGCACCAAGUAAAUUGUAUUGAAGUGAGAAUUGAUCCUUAAUCCUCAAGGUCAAAAGCUCAACAUUUAACCAUGUGGACCAUUUAGACUUCUUGUAGUACGGGUGCAAGAAUAUAAUAUUAUACAAAAUCUUAAAAAAUAUACAUAUAAAAUAUCUAAUUUUACGAAGAGACCACGAGUGCGGGUGCCCUAUUUUUUGGCUGUAAAUUCGCCACUGGUUUUAUCUACACUCUACAGCUGACAGCCAUAGAAUAAAAGUAGCAGCAAAACUGUCCUUUUGAGUUUUGCCCAACAAAAGAAUAAUGGAGUGUGGUUUCUUGACUAUUCAAAAAUAAAAGAGCUUAAUAUGAAAGGCGGAAUGACCCGAGAGACACCUGUACUUGGCUCCAUUUAUCACCUAGACCCUUCAACUCACAUCUUUGUUACUAAUUGCAAAAUCAAGACAAUACCAGUAAGUCUUCUCCAAAACAUUAUCAUCAUGGGCUCAAUUUAGGUCCAUGUACAACACUGUCCCAAUUGAUGAUUAACUUUAAGUAAGUGAAUGCAUCCUUAAGGGAACCUUUUGGGUUAUGGUGUAGAAUUAAAUAUUUAAUGACGUCAUCAAUUGUCCUAUAGGCUUACAGUCAGCUGGCUGACGUGUAAUAAGAAUUAUUUAUGUGUCUCACGCAACUGAUACCUACACUUUGUUUGGAUGAUAGUUAUAUAUUGUUUCAUAAUGUAUCGUAUUGUAUUAUAUCGUAUUUUAUUGUUUUAAUGAAUACAAUGUUUGGAUAGAUUGUAUGUUUCGUUGUCGUUACAUAAUGUCACACAUCUAUAAUUUGAGUGAUAAACCUACAAGAAAAGUAGGGUACAACGUAGAGCUAUUAUGAAAAGAUAGGAUAAAAAAUGAAAUAUGAUUAUUAAAAUAUAAAUAUAGAUAAAAUGAGAUGAAAAUAUAAAGGUAACGACGCCCAUCAUUUUUAAUUCGUGCCGAUAGUUUUGCAAAAUCUUACGAUUUGGUUUUCUAAUUGUAUAAAUUUAGAAUUUGUAUAAUUCGCUCCCUGAUUGUAUAAAUCCAGAAUUUGUAUAUACUUACCCUAGAUAUUUGUAUACGAUUUAUGAAUAAAUUCAUAAUUAAUUAUCCUGUUUGUAUAUUAGCAAACGAAACAUACAAAAAUUCCUAAAUGUAUAAAUACAAAAUUUGUAUAUACUUACCAUUGUUGUAUAUUCACAAGAGACUAACCUCCAUUUAUAUAUAUUUGCCCUGUUUGUAUAUUUGCAAGCGAAAUAAACAAAUUGUAGUCUCCAUUUAUAUAUACUUACUCUGUUUGUAUAUUUGCAAGCGAAAUAUACAAACCACAACCUCCAUAGCAAACAAAACUACAGCUAUGAGGGCACAAUUACCGAAACUAUAGCUAUAGAAAAUUUUGAUCAAAGCUAUUGGAUUAUAUCAAAUUCAUAGCUUUCUCUGUAACUUUGUCCAUGUAUGGGAAGAUUUCCGUUAAAGAAAAUAUAAUAUAAAGAAGAGAAAGAAAAACUAAAAAUAAAUAAAUUUUAAGCAAUAUAAACUGAAAUACAUAUACAUCAUUUAAUAUGUAAUAACAUCAAGAAAUAAUGCAAACAUAUUUCACUCCUCAAAAUCUUCCUUGUUUCUUAUACUUUUUAAUAUUCAAAGUAAAAGGAAUAUCAUUCACGGUUCAACAACAAUCAAUAUUUCACGAUCAAGAGUAUAAUACUUUUUAGUAGUGGUUCUUAUUUAUCAUAUAUAUUAACGAUUGAAAUAUGAUUAAAAAAUAAUUUCAAUUUAAUAGACUUCUUUCUAUAUACCUAUGAAUUUCAUUAUAUUUAGAAAUGAUACAUUGAAAGAAUCCGUUAGGUUUUCCAAUAUCAAUAGAUUGAUAGUUUCUUUCUUGUAUCUUUCCAAAGGAAAAAAAGAUCUCGGAAAGAGUUCAACAGUAGUAUGUCGUUGAUUGCUUUCCUUAUUUUAUUGUAUGUGUAAAUUAUCUUAAGGAAAGCCUUAUUGUUUCCUCGUGUGAGGAUUGUAUAACUUGUAUCUAUCCAUUAUUAAAUGAUUUCACUUAGUAGAGUCUUAAAGGCGGCCUCUUUGAAAAGGGGUCGUAUUAGUUGUCCUAGUGUAAAGAGUCAAUAUUGGUCAUUGGCAUUACCGAGGUAAUAUUGAUUGAUGUGAUAAGGGGCAUUUUGGUGAUUUACAUUGAAUUUGACCUACUUAAGAGGGUUGUAACGUUUACAUGUAUUAUUCUUUCAUUCUCGGUGUUGUCACAUUCUUAUAAAACCUACCUACUCUUCCCUCUUUAUUCAUCUCUUUGGCUUCUCUCUCGCUCUCGCCGCUUAGUUUAUGUUCAGUAACAAGGUUAGUUCUAUUUAUCCUAUUUUUCUCUUUAUUUUUCCAAUGUGGGUAUUGUUCUUCUCCUUUUGUUGAAUUUUUAUAGAUCCUGCCCCGCCCCCUUUCUUUUUUUACGCAAUUCCUUUUCAAGAAUAAAUCAUUUUUUAUUGGUGGUCUUAUCCUCAAUAUACUUGUGGUUAGGAGUGUUCACAGUUUUGAUAAAAAUCGAUCCAGACCAAAAAAAUAUAUCGAAACGAUUCAAUAAAUCGAUUUUAUUUGGGUUUGGUUUCGUUUGGUUUUAGAUUUUUGAAAGCAGAUAUUAUUUUUUAUUUUGUUCAAAAAGGGGUCGUAUUAGUUGUCCUAGUGUAAAGAGCCGGUAUUGGCCGUUGGCAUGGCCGAGGUAAUAUUUAUUGAUGCAGUAAGGGGCAUUUUGGUGAUUUUCAUUGAAUUUGACCUACUUAAGAGGGUUGUAACGUUUACAUGUGUUAUUCUUGCAUUCUCAGCGUUGUCACAUUCUUAUAAAACCUACCUACUCUUCCCUCUUUAUUCAUCUCUUCGGCUUCUCUCUUGCUCUUGCCGCUUAGUUUAUGUUCAGUAAUAUCUUCUUCUAUUUUACCCCCCCCCCCCCCGCCCGCUCCCUCUAUUUUUUAGGCAAUUACUUUUCAAGAAUAAAUUAAUUUUUAGGUGUUCUUAUCCUCGGUAUACUUGUGGCUAGGGGUGUUCACGAUUUGAAUAAAAAUUGAUCCAGACCAAAAAAGAUUCUAUCGAAACGAUUCAAUAAAUCGAUUUUAUUUGGGUUUGGUUUCGUUUGGUUUUAGAUUUUUGAAAACUGAUAGUAUUUUUGGUUUUGUUUGAAAAAACAGAAGAAAUAACUUAACUGAACCGAUAAAUUAUAUAUAUACAUGUAUUUUAUUAUUAUACAUACAUAAUAUAUUACUUUUAUAAACACUUUUAAAGAUCUUAUAUAUGUUUUCAUCAAAAUAUAUUUUUAAUUUCUUUAUGAAAGCAAAAAUGUCAAGAUGAGAACAUUUAUCUUAUUGGUUAUAUUUUAAUUUUAGUAUUAAAAAUGCAUAAACACCAACAGGUUUCAUGUAUAUGACUAAAAAUGUCACAGUCACUUCUUUCAAGGCCAAAAUGGUGAAUUUUGAAACUUUAUUCAUAAGAAAAUUUAGUCAUCGAAAGUUCGGUAACGUCGGUCGUUCUAACUAUUUCUCAUUUUGAUGAAUUAUUGUCACUUUUUUUUCAUUUUGAAUGAAUCAUUUCUUUUAUUUUUGUGUAUGGUUAACAACCAAAUAACCGAACCAAAUCAAACCGAAAUCGAUAACAACCAAACGGAUAAAUAUUUAUUAUAUUUGGUUUGAUUUAAUUUUGAAAAUUUAAAAACCGAUUAUGUUGGUUUGGUUUUGAUUUUGACCAAUAAUCGACCCGUGACAACCCCUAUUUGUAGUAAUUGAUUUUUGUUAAGAUUAUAACUUUGUUAUUAGGGAUGGCAAUUGGGGCGGGACGAAGCACUUGCGGGGAAAAUUUGCAUGAGUCCGCGAACACUUCGACCCGUCCCACCUCGCCCCGCAUAGCAAAACAAUUAGUUUUUAAUCCAUCUCGCCCACCUUGCCUCAUAUGCAAGUAAACUUAAUCUCUAAUGUUUGAUAAUGUCACGCCCCGAGCCUACACCCUGGGCGGGAUCGGCACUCGAAGACCAUUGUUGGCCCCAAGCGAACCCUUGGCCUGGCUUCUUAACUCAGCGGAAACCUAACUCAACAGAAUAACUCAAUGCAAUGAAAGGUCAUAAAGCAGCCCAACUGAUAAAAUCUGGCCAACAGGCAACUCGUGUCUCAAAAUAGAAUAUAUAUAUAUACAUAGAUGAGAGACUCAAUACUAACUGACUGAUUGUCUGUCUAUGAAGCCUCUAUAACACUGAGAUGGAUGUUGGGACAGACCCCACAACAUCCUAAUAAAGCAAAACUAGGAACACAAAAUAACAGAGUCCUCAGGAAGGCAAAAAGGCUCACCACUGACUCUGGAAUGCUCAGCUGGAUCAACGGCGUGCUGGAUGCUGAUCCUGGGUACCUGUGUCUGCAUCAUCAUAAGAUGCAGGCCAACUGGCAUCAGUACAUUGAAUGUACAAGUAUGCGAGUUGGAAUGCUAAGCAACAUAGGCUAGAAGGAAAUCUGGAAGAAACUGAAUAACUUACCUGGCUCAACUCAACUCAACCUGACUGACUCGUUUCAAUAUAAGGCACAUUAAAACAAGUGCAAUAUAAAGAAAAGUUGUUUAAAACAUGCUAUAAACUCUGUGUACGCAAAGAUACAAUAAGUCUGAGAUGUAUGUAGAAAUACAAAUGAACUGAUGUAUAUAAAAAUACAAUAAUUAUUGUGGGAGUUUCUCUCACCGACAACCAUCACAUAAAAGCUAUAGUGAUGAUACAACGAUCAACCUCACGCUGCCAGAGCAUCCUACACCUGGCCAAAGGUAUAGGACCUGAACUGCCUAAUGGAUCCACUAGUCUAAUUUGAAAAGGAUUCAUCUAAAAAGUAUGAACCUCUUCUGCCCAUGAUGGUUACAUGGUUCUAUGGGGACUGUGGGUUCUUUGAACGCUCCCCCAAUUCGGUGCUCAAUACUACUCCCAAAAUGUACUAGCUCUUUUUUUUUUUUAAAACAUUAUUUCUUUCUGCUGAUUUGAGAUAAUUACUCAAACUUAGCUCAAAGGCUAUCUUGAAAAUCUCAGUUUCCUCUCUUGCUUCAUUUAGAAAGCGAUUACUCUUUUUCUAGAAAACUAGCCUGAAGGCUCUUUGGAGAUCCCAGUUUCCAAUCUUGUUUAAAUGUGAAAACAUUUCUUUAAAACUUCUUUGGGAAUACUUAGUUCCCUAAUAACUUUUGAGAAAUGAACUCAACUCUAUACUCCUGGCUUAACUUGAAACUUGAGCCUUAAAAAUGAAGUUAAAACGCUUAAUUAAAGACUCGAAAAACUUGAAGAAACUUGCUUUGACUUGCUUCUUAACUUCUAGACUUGACUCUAACUUCACUUGACUUUGAUCCGAACUUUCCUCAAAUUGGAUUAUGAAUUCAAGGGUAAUAAUCUCACGUUUAUGGAUGAGUUCUUGAUGCUUAGAUGUACCUUAGAGUGGUGAAAACAACUAUAAAACAUAGGGUACAUUACCAAGAAACAUGUAUGAAAAAGUGGGGAAGGAAAGGGAAGGAUUGGCGUCCUUGGCGCUCUGAGAGGCGCGGGGCUCCAGCCCUCAAAGCUCAGAAGGCCUGGUGGGACGCUCUGCAUGGCGCGCCGCCCCAAGGGUGGAGGCUCAGAAUCCCUUUUGGGGCGCGCUGGCUGGCGCGACGCCCCAGCCCUUUUUUCCCCCGAAAAAUCCAACUUUUCUCCUUUGUUUUCCAACUCUAAACCUUCUUAACUUCAAAGGUUCCAGCCCCCAAAACACUUAGAAUCAUAAAACCCCUUAACAUACAAUAGAUUCAACUCGAAAUCACAACCGGAAACAUGCACCAAACCAACAAGAACUUCAACACAACCACAAGACUUCAACAAACACAACCAAAUCUUUUCUCGAAAAUUAAAACGAGUUUGGCAUCUGGGGGAAUGAACCAACCCAACACUAUGAUCUCACAUACCUUAAUAGGGAUAACCCUUGACGAAAACCAAGACGACCUCUUCUCUUUCUCCUCUUCUUUCUCUCUUCUCUCAAAAGCCCUAACUCUCACUUUAAAAGGGAAAACUGAUUUAAAAUCAGUCUAAAACCUUACUAUAACCAAAAGAAAUGGUUAGGGAAAAGACCAAAAUACCCUUACAAAUUCGGAGUAAACUGCCCUAUGCCGACAACCCAACUUCCAAAGGGCAUAACUCACUCAUACGAACUCGGAAUCAAGCAAACUUGGCGGCGUUGGAAAGAUAAUUCCAAGAGCUUUCCAAACAUAACUAUAAAUACACCUAAGUCAUCCUGAUCUAGGAGUUAUGACUGUUUGAAAGUGACAAAAACACUAUUUUCAAUUUCAAGCUUCUUCAUAGUUAGUUCAAAUUGCAACAUGUCACAGAUAAUUUUUCCCCCUUCACAGCCCUGUGUUAUGAGCAACCAAGACCAAAUCUCUAACAGUUGUCGUGAUAAGGGAAACUCCAAAAGUCUGCUUAUUGAAAACUCACCUCAGAAAAAAAUGAAGAUUGAGAUAGAAUGCAAAGACAUUGAUAGGAUCAGUCACCUACCUGACGCUCUUAUUGUUCAAAUUAUUUCUCGAUUGUCCAUAAAAGAUGUGUUCCGAACAACUAUUCUCUCUAAAGAUUGGCAAUACUUCUGGACUUCUAUCGACAACAUUGUUUAUGAAGAGGGGUAUGGUCGUUCAGAUAGCUCGACAGUGCACAAAUUCAUUUUCUUAACAGAUAAUGUACUACCUCUCCUUAGCUGCUCUAGCAUUAAAAAGUUCAGUCUAAACGUCGAGUUCACAACUAAUGAUGAUGUUGUGUCUUAUUUUUCCCAUAAUUGACAAGUGACUUGAAUUUUCUAUGAGUAAGGAAGUGGAGGAUUUACGCCUGAAUAUACGCGAUAGAAAUAUUAAUUCAAGUCAGCCCCAAAGCUAUAGCUUGCCACAAGUUCUCUGCAGUAGUUCAUCGAUUGUAACACUCAACUGCGAUAAUUGCAUAAUAUCAGAAGAUUGUGUACUAAAUUGGACAUCUCUGAAGAGUUUAACGUUGCAAAGUUUGUUUCUCCUGGAUGAACACAUUAAACAAAUAAUGUCAAAUUGUCCUCAAUUGGAAUCUUUGGAGCUACAUGAAUUUUGUGGUUUUAGUUGUUUGCACAUGACUUGUCCAAAAUGUAGGCGACUGCAGUUGACCCAGCACGAUCAUCCUUACGGGGAUUGGUAUUUAUACGAAGGUGAUGUAUGUUGCUUAGAAAUUGUUGCUCCAUAUGUUGAACAUUUAACGAUUACUAGGGUUUUAAGUCAUACGAAAAUUAAGUUCGGGGACUUGUCAUCUUUGAACCAUGCCACUUUUAAUCUCUAUUGUGAUGAAUAUGAUGAAAUGGAUGUAAACAUAGAAAAGAUUUGUUGCUAAGCGUUCAUUGUGCUAAUGAGCUAAUACUCUCAUCCCGAUUUAUCAAGGUCAGUUAUCAGUCCCAAAUGUCUUUAGUCUUUUUAUGUUAAUUGUGAAUAGAGCUCCUCUUUUUAUCAUCUGCCUCAUUCUUUUGUUCAGGUGAUUUCCAAUUUGAUGUUGGAAGAGGAACACGUCUCCUUACCGUUGAUGGAAUGCAGAUACUUGACAAUAAGUUCUCGUAUUUCAAAACUUUCCUUCCCAAUGCUAGACAACCUCUUAAGGUCAACUUGUAAUUUGAAAAUUUUGAUGAUAUUUCCUGAUAAGCCGGUAUGUUUUAAAUUCACGAUAUAUUUAUAUCAAAUGUUUAUUGAUCCUCUAUAGACUCAACAACUUCAAUUUCAUUACUAUAGUUGUUAAGCUUAACGCUUACCACCUAACCUAAUUUUUCCUUGUUCAGUAUUUGUAGUACCAUCCUUUUUUUGAGGUCGAAGACAUUGAUUUGCUGGAAGACAUGUACCUCUCCUUUGAAGAAAACAUAUCCAAAGUUUCCUUACAAAAUUUGAAGAAUAUCAAGGUUAUGUCAUUUUGUAGUCGCACGCGUAGAUCUGACGCAAUGGAGCUCCAUCAAUUCUUGAAGUUCUUACUUGAGCAUGCAAUAAAUUUGCAGAAACUGGUUAUAGUGCCAGAGCAUAAGGAAUGCAACAGUUGUUCUACUGAUACCUCAUUCCUGAUGAAGUAUUUGUUACCUUUUCCAACAACUUCUAUGAGUGCAAUUAUUUCCUUAGGAACAGUUAGUCAUAAUGUUUUCUAUAGUGAUGUUUGAAACUCUCUUGUACUUAUAAAGACACAUAAGAUUGGGAUAUGACUGUAAUUCAGAUAUUGCUUGUUUGUUUGUAUGGCCAAGUAAUUUAUUUAGUCAUUUUUUACUGUUGAAAUAUCAUUUUGAUGAAGUUAGAAGUUAGUAUAUGCUAAGAUUUUUCGAACCAUUCUUCGUAGGUGUAUAGGUUCAUACUUGGUGAUUAAUUCCUAACUAUUUAUGGGUGUUAAGGCUCAAUUAUAAGUGUGGAAAGUGUAUUGGAUGUGAAUCAAGGUCAUAAGGGCCUCCUAGCAUACGAAGAGUUUUGUGGCCUAAUACCAGCCUAAUAACAAGUCUCAGAGUUUUCUUUCCAACGCAUUUGACCGUUCGUCAAUCUGAGUUAUGUGCUAAAAGUUAUGUCCAUUUCAGUGGGUACUAUGUAGUCUGCGCGAACCGCCAGGCGACUGCGCGGGAACGUUAGUGUUAUUGCCAUGGCUGUAUGACCUAGGCUCCAAUUGCGCACGUUCGCUCUGAAAUUCUUUUAGUUUUCUCUUCUUUUUAUAGUUUGAGGAGGGGUCUUUUUGUCAUUUCCUCAUUCCAUAACCCGAACCCUUGACUAUUAACUUCCUUCAAAAGUCAAAUUUAAUUAGAUUUCAUAUGUUACGAUAAACUCCUCUCUUUUUGUCCAACACUUCAAAAAACUAUAUUUACAAGAAUGCUAGAGAUUGCAAUCACGAUUCUUCCUCAAACUUCAAAAUUAAGGUAUGUAGGACAAAUGGCUGAAGGAUGUAAAGAAACAUAUUAAAUAUUAUUGUCAGUAAUGCUUUAUAAAUUUGUUACUCCAAAACAUGUUUUCAGUCUAAAAUAUUACUGAUAGUAACAAUUCUUUAGAAUUCAAUUACGGACAACCGAAUUCUACAUAUUUAAAAUCUUGCAUAUGUGCAUAUAUUUUUUUUCAUACCUCAUAAUUUGCGGAUAAGAUUGAUAUAAAUAUUUUGGGAAUGUACGUAAAGAACAAAUUAAAAUGAUGCAUUUUAAAUUAGUGGUCAGCAUAGUUAUUACAUAAAUCUAUUGGCUCAAAACUAUGAAUUUGUCAUAGUCAAUCAGCUUCAUUUUGCAGAACUCUUUAUUCAAUCAUCAUUCCAACAAUUAUGAAAACUAGACUCAAAGUCCUUCAAUUUGAUGUGUUACAGGUCUUCUAACUCUCAAUAUAUUUGGAGAUAUGCUCAUCACAAGUCAAGAUUAUACAAAACUCUAUUAUAAUAAACAUGUCACCUAAGAUUAUUGUUUCAAAGCUCCCUUUGGCCUCUAACUUUCGUCUAAAAAUUUCAAGUGAUUUUAUAUAGUUAUUACUUGGUAUAACCAUCUAAUUUUUAUUAUUCUCCGGACAUCUCAAUGACGGUUGAUGUAAAAUACAAUAAAUUGACUCGUCAAACAUAAAUUUGUUAUUUUAAACGUUAAAAACUUAUGGGAUAUUGCAUAUACACAUCCUCUAAAAUCUUUCAGUUCAAUUGGAAGUACUUCAUCCCAAGUCCUUCCGGCACUUGAGUGUGUAUUAAUUGAUUAUCAUCAUAGAUCUUACGCUAUUAAUAGCUCAAACUAUUAGAUGAGGGUUGAUAGCCCCAAAUCUUUGUUAUUAGUUGUUUCCAUAAUCUUCACUUCCUUAUCCGAGCAAGUUUAGAAUUGAGGCAAGUUUCAAUGUUUGCAAUCAUCAAAAAAAAAACUUUACAAAAGAACCAUUAAUGCACAAUGGCUGACACCUUCAUGCGAAGAUUUAAUAUGAAGAAUUCAGUAUCCUCACUUCGAUUCUAGGUUACAUAACCCUAGUUAUGAUGCUUAGCUACUCAUAACUUUGUACAAAUAAUUUAAAAAAUUGUAAUAAUCAAAGAACAUUAUGAUAAUGAGAAAUAGAACAAACCUUGAACUAAAACUCAGUAUUUGCAAGAAUAUAUGUUGUUUGUCCAAAACUCAUGAAUAGAAAGUAGUAAUGUAAGGACCCUAAUUUAUGGUGUAUGCUCUCCAAUGCGUGGCUUGUCAAAAUAAAAUAUCAACAAUAUAAACCGGUUAUCAACCCUACAAAAGUUUAUAAAUUCUACUUAUAUUUUGACUUGAAACAUGUCUAAUCACAUAUAUUAGCUCGCUCACAUCAAUCAUACUCAAAACAUAUCAAUAUAUGCGAACAAAACGUAGCUAAAAUAUGGGUAAAAUACAACAUGAUUAUAUAAAUACGCUCAAGAUCAAGUAUCGAACUCCAAGAGGAAGGACCUUUUUUAGGAUUAGAGCAAAGGUCCCAAAAAAAGCUUCACAAUGUAUUGUAAGGUAUAGUUCUCAUGGCAACACUUGUGAGAAACAACUAUUAGAUGUAAAAUAAACCUUACAUUGUCCUUUAAUAUUCCCUUCCAAGAGAAUGAACCUCAAAUGAGAUUAAUACCAUUUUUGCUAAGAAACAUUUAGAGAAUUCACAAAUUAACUCUCAAUAAGGACCAAUAAUCUGAAAUCACCAAAACAUUUCAAAGAAUCUGCAAGUGCAGUGAAAUGUGUAAAAAGGGUAACCCCAAAAUGAAAGAGAAAAAAUUGACAUUUAGUAAUAUCAAUUUUAACGUAUAACAUAAAAGGCCAGUAGUAUUGAUGGUCAGUCUCAAAAAUCUAAUACAACAAACUUUGUUGCUUAACCAACAAUCUCUGCUACCUUGUGUGACUAUUAAUCCACGGCAAUACAUAGCCUA
RNAcentral lists this long non-coding RNA (29904 nucleotides) under Solanum tuberosum (potato). RNAcentral's name for it is "long non-coding RNA (STUB_LNC010891)". The record is from RNAcentral. Lineage: Eukaryota; Viridiplantae; Streptophyta; Magnoliopsida; Solanales; Solanaceae.